Molecule: non-coding RNA, 588 nt
Organism: Pseudopodoces humilis (Tibetan ground-tit)
Lineage: Eukaryota; Metazoa; Chordata; Aves; Passeriformes; Paridae
Source: RefSeq, a predicted model, not a curated record
UCUAGAACUAUAUUAAAAAUAGAUAUGGGUCAGAUUCUUUUAUUUUCUUUCUUAGUUACCUCAUUUCUUUCUGUUACCUUUCAACUUCGUCGCAAUGCAAGGUAUACUACUUGUGGUCUGCUCAAGACUUAAUCACGUAGGGGUUUCAGAAUACGCUUCUGAUGUCAUCUGAUUAAAACAGACUUCAGAAUUAAAAUUUCAAGGCUUUAUGGAAGGGCAGAGAGAGGAAGGUCAGGGAGAAGGGGAGGCAUACACUGAAGGAAUGUCCUGAAGAUGCUGCUGUCUUCUGCUGCUGCGAUUCUAACUAUGACUGAGAGGUUGCCCUCACACAGUCAGACAACAAGCUUCUCAUUACAAAGACUUUGACUCUCCUAUAGUGUGCCUGUGGAAUGAAUUUCUCAGCACAGCAAGGCAAAAAAGGACACUUCGAAGUUCAUUUUGAAUUCUAGAGGUAUCCCAUACUGCAUGCGAAUGGAAAUCUCGGAACACAAAGGAACUGUCUUGUAGUCCCCAAAAUGCACAACUCAGAGAUACUAGUUUAUUGUCAAAGUGAUUUGCAAAUAAAUCUUAUUUUUAACCUCUUUCUGA